GUCAAAGCUCUCUGCCUCUACCUGUUCUUUGUGUCGAAGAUGGGGAGGCAAUUCUGAAGUUCUCUGAAAUUUUCGCCCUUCAUAAACCUCGGAAGAAAGCAGAGAAGAGGGAGCGUCGUUGCUCUGUUCCCAAAGACAAAUACAAGGCCAUGCACACACUGGAUAUUGUUGAAGAAGAUGAAGUUAAAUUACUGAGAGGGUCCUAUGAAGAGUUUCCUUGGUUGAGGAUGACCCAUGUACAUCAUGAUAGUGCUUUAACGAUGCUGGAUAUUGAACCAGGA
Molecule: unclassified non-coding RNA, 281 nt
Filed under: Hevea brasiliensis (rubber tree)
Lineage: Eukaryota; Viridiplantae; Streptophyta; Magnoliopsida; Malpighiales; Euphorbiaceae
Source: RNAcentral